UGGAUCACUGAUAGACUGGAUCACUGAGAGGUACGUCUCUGUAAUAGACUGGAUCACUGAGAGGUACGUCUCUGUUAUAGACUGGAUCACUGAUAGACUGGAUCACUGAGAGGUACGUCUCUGUUAUAGACUGGAUCACUGAUAGACUGGAUCACUGAUAGACUGGUUCACUGAGAGGUACGUCUCUGUUAUAGACUGGAUCACUGAUAGACUGGAUCACUGAGAGGUACGUCUCUGUUAUAGACUGGAUCACUGAUAGACUGGUUCACUGAGAGGUACGUCUCUGUUAUAGACUGGAUCACUGAUAGACUGGAUCACUGAGAGGAACGUCUCUGGUAUAGACUGGAUCACUGAUAGACUGGAUCACUGAGAGGUACGUCUCUGGUAUAGACUGGGUCACUGAUAGACUGGAUCACUGAGAGGUACGUCUCUGUUAUAGACUGGAUCACUGAUAGACUGGUUCACUGAGAGGUACGUCUCUGGUAUAGACUGGAUCACUGAUAGACUGGAUCACUGAGAGGAAUGUCUCUGUAAUAAACUGGAUCACUGAUAGACUGGAUCACUGAUAGACUGGAUCACUGAUAGACUGGAUCACUGAGAGGAACGCUCUGUAAUAGACUGGAUCACUGAGAGGAACGUCUCUGUAAUAGACUGGAUCACUGAUAGACUGGAUCACUGAUAGACUGGAUCACUGAGAGGACCGUCUCUGAUAGACUGGGUCACUGAUAGACUGGAUCACUGAGAGGAACGUCUCUGUUAUAGACUGGAUCACUGAUAGACUGGAUCACUGAGAGGAACGUCUCUGUUAUAGACUGGAUCACUGAUAGACUGGAUCACUGAUAGACUGGAUCACUGAGAGGACCGUCUCUGAUAGACUGGAUCACUGAUAGAUUGGAUCACUGAGAGGAACGUCUCUGUUAUAGACUGGAUCACUGAUAGACUGGAUCACUGAGAGGAACGUCUCUGUAAUAGACUGGAUCACUGAUAGACUGGAUCACUGAUAGAUUGGAUCACUGAGAGGAACGUCUCUGUAAUAGACUGGAUCACUGAGAGGAAUGUCUCUGUAAUAAACUGGAUCACUGAUAGACUGGGUCACUGAUAGACUGGAUCACUGAUAGACUGGAUCACUGAGAGGAACGUCUCUGUUAUAGACUGGAUCACUGAGAGGAACGUCCCUG
Salmo salar (Atlantic salmon) is the source of this 1178-nucleotide non-coding RNA. The record is from RefSeq and is a predicted model, not a curated record. NCBI's taxonomy places the organism in Eukaryota, Metazoa, Chordata, Actinopteri, Salmoniformes, Salmonidae.